UUGUCUGUAUGAUGCUCCAAGGUAUUAUCAUACUUUCGAGUAGCAAUAUCCCAAAUUUUAACUUGUCGGUCAGCAUUAGCACUGGCAAUGAUAUUCCUGCAUUUAUUUCUUUUCCUGAACUGUUCGUUCCGCACAAGGCAAGUAUGGAGUCAGUGUGACUGCCUUCUUUGUAUUUGGUUGAUGUCUAUUGUCUAACACAAAAAGUUGCAGUCAUUGCUACUGCAAUAGAUGGAAUGAAAGUCCAAGGAUGCUACAGCAGAACUGCAUAUAAAGAAGCGUGUUAUUGUUUUACAAUAUCUUAUAAAAGUAUUUUGUGACAUUUAACCUAAAUAAUCCAAAUCAAAAGAUAAAAUUGUAACAGAAUGUAGUAGCAGGUUUUAUUUCAUGUCUUCUUCUUCUUCUCAGAAAUGCCACCUAAAACUACAGAUGGCUGCACUUCAUCAAUCUGAGAAAGGGAAGUUGUGAGACUCUGUAACAACAUAUCCAUUAAAGACUUAAUAAACUUAUAAUUUUCUGAGAUUCAAAUACAUGAUCGACAUAUACAUUGUUGAGGUCCCAUAUUUCAAUUGAAGGGUCCAUUGAACCCACAGCUAUAAAAUUUCCUUUUUCUUCCUCCUUAAGUGGACAAUCAAGCCACGCUGUACAAAGGGGAAAUGCUGACAGGACAAUAUCAUGGUGAACAUACAUGUUUGAAUCACCAUCAUCUGAUUCCUCAAGUAUCCAAACCUCAAGGUGACUGAAUUCAUCCUCAUUACGUGCACAAACUAUUACUGCAUCCUUUGGUUUAAUGGUCAUGUCCUCAAGCUCUUCAGAAUCAUCAUCAUCCUUAUCCUUUAGAUAGGGGUCCAUAUCAUUGCUUGGGUAGUAAAGAUCCCCAAGUCCUGUGCUGAAUAGCUCAACGCCUUCAUCCUCAUCAUCAUAACGUUCCAUGUCAAGUUCCUUGAGGCCAUCAGCUAUAUCAUCAAAUUUGGUGGCUGAAUUGUUAUUUUUGGGUGUUCUACCAAGAGCUUCUGCUACAGCUAAUGCAUGGGUUGCUUCAUCAGUCUGCUUGGCAGUAUCAACAUCCAUAUCUUCGUCAUCUGCCUCACUACCACUAUCUUCACGUCUCUCUAAAGCACCGGCCUUUAUAAUCUGUUCAAUUUCCUCCUUGGACGGCGGGUCCGCCACUGCUGGUACAGACUUGGAAACACCUUUGGGCACCCAUGAAACUGCGGCUAUCAUCCUUACUAAAACUAAAUCGAAUUGUGAGGUGAGGAGAUUUAUUGUGGUUUUUUGAACUAAAGAGAUUUAGGGAACGAAACAGGGCAGCUACCUCCAAUCUAAGAUGUCUUAUGCUAAAACCCUAAACCUAGGAUGGACACGCGCUCAUUCCUUUUUUU
This 1379-nucleotide unclassified non-coding RNA is filed under the name Hevea brasiliensis (rubber tree). The record is from RNAcentral. Lineage: Eukaryota; Viridiplantae; Streptophyta; Magnoliopsida; Malpighiales; Euphorbiaceae.